AUUGAACGCUGGCGGCAUGCCUUACACAUGCAAGUCGAACGGCAGCACGGGAGCAAUCCUGGUGGCGAGUGGCGAACGGGUGAGUAAUAUAUCGGAACGUGCCCGGUCGUGGGGAUAACGUAGCGAAAGCUACGCUAAUACCGCAUACGAUCUAUGGAUGAAAGCGGGGGAUCGCAAGACCUCGCGCGAUUGGAGCGGCCGAUAUCAGAUUAGGUAGUUGGUGAGGUAAAGGCUCACCAAACCGACGAUCUGUAGCUGGUCUGAGAGGACGACCAGCCACACUGGGACUGAGACACGGCCAGACUCCUACGGGAGGCAGCAGUGGGAAUAUUGGACAAUGGGCGAAAGCCUGAUCCAGCAAUGCCGCGUGAGUGAUGAAGGCCU
Molecule: ribosomal RNA, 384 nt
Filed under: uncultured bacterium
Lineage: Bacteria
Description: bacterial SSU rRNA
Rfam family: Bacterial small subunit ribosomal RNA
Source: RNAcentral